Molecule: transfer RNA, 72 nt
Filed under: Diaphorina citri (Asian citrus psyllid)
Lineage: Eukaryota; Metazoa; Arthropoda; Insecta; Hemiptera; Psyllidae
Rfam family: tRNA
About the family: Transfer RNA (tRNA) molecules are approximately 80 nucleotides in length. Their secondary structure includes four short double-helical elements and three loops (D, anti-codon, and T loops).
Source: Rfam by way of RNAcentral
GCCUCGGUGGUAUAGUGGUCAAGACGCUUGCCUGACGAUCAAGAGGGCGUGGGUUCAAUGCCAGCCGAGGUA